RNAcentral lists this ribosomal RNA (892 nucleotides) under uncultured archaeon. RNAcentral's name for it is "bacterial SSU rRNA". It matches the Rfam family "Archaeal small subunit ribosomal RNA", at positions 21 to 903 of the family's 1478-position model. The record is from RNAcentral.
CCCGACUGCUAUUUGGGUGAGGAUAAGCCAUGCGAGUUGAAUGGGAAACCUAAAAAUCCCAUGGCAAACUGCUCAGUAACACAUGAUCAACUUACCCUAUAGAGGAAAAUAACCUCGGGAAACUGAGGAUAAUGUUCCAUAGUUGAAUCGACUUGGAAAAGUUUUUCAAUAAAAGGGAUAAGGAAAAUGGUUCUUAUCUGCUAUAGGAUAGGAUCGUGCUCGAUUAUGGUUGUUGGUGAGGUAAAGGCUCACCAAGCCGAUAAUCGAUAGGGGCCGUGAGAGCGGGAGCCCCGAGAUGGGUACUGAGACAACGACCCAGCCUUACGAGGCGCAGCAGGCGCGAAACCUCCGCAAUACACGAAAGUGUGACGGGGUUACCCAAAGUGUUCUAUUUAGAACUGUGGUAGUGAGUAAUGUCCCUACUAGAAGGAGAGGGCAAGGCUGGUACCAGCCGCCGCGGUAAAACCAGCUCUUCAAGUGGUCGGGAUAAUUAUUGGGCUUAAAGUGUCCGUAGCCGGUUUAGUAAGUUCCUGGUAAAAUCGGGUAGCUUAACUAUCUAUAUGCUAGGAAUACUGCUAUACUAGAGGGCGGGAGAGGUCUGAGGUACUACAGGGGUAGGGGUGAAAUCUUAUAAUCCUUGUAGGACCACCAGUGGCGAAGGCGUCAGACUGGAACGCGCCUGACGGUGAGGGACGAAAGCCAGGGGAGCGAACCGGAUUAGAUACCCGGGUAGUCCUGGCCGUAAACGAUGCAUACUAGGUGAUGGCACGGCCAUGAGCCGUGUCAGUGCCGUAGGGAAACCGUUAAGUGUGCCGCCUGGGAAGUACGGUCGCAAGGCUAAAACUUAAAGGAAUUGGCGGGGGAGCACCACAAGGGGUGAAGCCUGCGGUUC